This 701-nucleotide ribosomal RNA is filed under the name Flavobacterium piscis. Its description in RNAcentral is "bacterial SSU rRNA". It matches the Rfam family "Bacterial small subunit ribosomal RNA", at positions 143 to 847 of the family's 1533-position model. Lineage: Bacteria; Pseudomonadati; Bacteroidota; Flavobacteriia; Flavobacteriales; Flavobacteriaceae. The record is from RNAcentral.
AUAGCCCAGAGAAAUUUGGAUUAAUACCUCAUAGUAUAUAGCCCUGGCAUCAGGAUUAUAUUAAAGUCACAACGGUGAAAGAUGAGCAUGCGUCCCAUUAGCUAGUUGGUAUGGUAACGGCAUACCAAGGCUACGAUGGGUAGGGGUCCUGAGAGGGAGAUCCCCCACACUGGUACUGAGACACGGACCAGACUCCUACGGGAGGCAGCAGUGAGGAAUAUUGGACAAUGGGCGCAAGCCUGAUCCAGCCAUGCCGCGUGCAGGAUGACGGUCCUAUGGAUUGUAAACUGCUUUUGCACAGGAAGAAACAACUCUACGUGUAGAGUCUUGACGGUACUGUGAGAAUAAGGAUCGGCUAACUCCGUGCCAGCAGCCGCGGUAAUACGGAGGAUCCAAGCGUUAUCCGGAAUCAUUGGGUUUAAAGGGUCCGUAGGCGGUCUUAUAAGUCAGUGGUGAAAUCUCCCCGCUCAACGGGGAAACGGCCAUUGAUACUGUAGGACUUGAAUUAUUAGGAAGUAACUAGAAUAUGUAGUGUAGCGGUGAAAUGCUUAGAGAUUACAUGGAAUACCAAUUGCGAAGGCAGGUUACUACUAAUGGAUUGACGCUGAUGGACGAAAGCGUGGGUAGCGAACAGGAUUAGAUACCCUGGUAGUCCACGCCGUAAACGAUGGAUACUAGCUGUUGGGAGCAAUCUCAGUGGC